Molecule: long non-coding RNA, 456 nt
Filed under: Mytilus galloprovincialis (Mediterranean mussel)
Lineage: Eukaryota; Metazoa; Mollusca; Bivalvia; Mytilida; Mytilidae
Source: RNAcentral
UGGUCUUUCAAAAUUUGUCAAUGACAUGUCAUAGUAUUGUUGGUCUUGGGAGAUAAACAGAUUUAAAAUUUAAGAGUUUUUUUAAAAAAAAUCAUUUUCGAAUUUUAACACAUUUUUAAAUGGUUGCUAUGGAAACAAACUAUUUAGUAAAUUCAAAAUUUUAACGUUUUUGUAGAGUUUGGGGUUUUGUUUGUCAAUACUGUAAAUAUACAUAUUGUUUGUAUUGAUUAACUUUAUUUCUAUGGUUCUUUAAAAUCCCUUAUAUUUCAUUUUUCAAAGGCUACUUAUUUGCGUUUUUAGGCAAAAUUUUGUAAGGAUGGUUUCCAUGGCAACCAAGGUUCAAAAGAAAAAAAAUAAUACAUAAAACUUAUUUUCAUACCUUACCUUCUUCAUAAACAAAAAAUAAAGUCAUGAAUAGCCUAUCAACAGGAACCUGCAUGAUUCUUUCAAAGACCG